Molecule: ribosomal RNA, 253 nt
Filed under: uncultured bacterium
Lineage: Bacteria
Description: partial 16S ribosomal RNA
Rfam family: Bacterial small subunit ribosomal RNA
Source: RNAcentral
UACGUAGGUGGCAAGCGUUGUCCGGAUUUAUUGGGUUUAAAGGGUGCGUAGGCGGUCCUAUAAGUCAGUUGUGAAAUACGGCAGCUUAACUGUCGAGGUGCAAUUGAUACUGCAGGACUUGAGUACAGAAGAGGUAGGCGGAAUUGACGGUGUAGCGGUGAAAUGCUUAGAUAUCGUCAAGAACACCGAUAGCGAAGGCAGCUUACUAGACUGUAACUGACGCUGAUGCACGAAAGUGUGGGGAUCAAACAGG